GUAAUAUUUGCCAAAACCUUAUAUUCUCUUUAAUGAUUACGCGUGAUGAGAAAGACGACGCUUUAUCACUACAAUCGAUAAACUCUAAUGGAAGAAAUAUCUAUCUCAUCUCUAUCAAUCCUUUUGGUUUCUCCGUAGCACGUUUCCAUUUUCUCACAAUCUCUUCGAGUUCUCACCUCCUUGAUAUUUCUGCAACCGACGUUCGACGGGUCCUCUAAUCGGUCGGAAAAGGAAGAUGAUAGGUUCAUAUAUAUUUGACCCCAACACACAGAUGGAUUCAAUUUUUUCUCGCCAUGGUUCAUCUCCAAAUGGUGAUUUCGGUUCUGAAUUCUACAUCAGGAACUUCUCCGACCAUUUGCUUCGCAUCGAAAUCAUAGGUGGACCGUCAGAUUCUAAGUCUGAUGGUAAAGGUUGAACGAGAAUUCUCAUUCGCUAGACAUGACUCUCUCUCACCGACUCCGUAUCCCAGAUCCGUAAUAAUCUCGCCUACAUCAAGAUCGAAAGGGUCUAUAACGGGAGGGUCCAAAGGCUUGUGAAGUUCCAGUUUCCAGCAAAGAUCUCUAUAAAUACUGCAGAGAGGGCCAGACCAGUUUCAGCGAAGGUAUGUGUUUAUUUACUUAUCUAUGUGGCCGGAUACGUGUUAUAGUGACCGGUUAAGAUAAACAUUAUACGGCCAAGCAAUAUUAAUAAGUUCAUGUACGUUCUGUUUCAUGUCUAUUAUUGUACUGGUGGCAUUUUAGUUUUCAGCAAAGAUCUUACAGAUACUUCGAAGAGGACCAGGCCGAAAUUUAUAUCAAUAACAAGUUUUAGUUUAGCCGUUUUUAUCUAAAGAUAUUCGUCUCAGGUGCUAUCGGUUGUAAAGCAUAAAUUUGCAAUUAAUUAACUAUGCUUACAGUGUUAUAUCCGGCUAAAAAUCUUUUUAAUCA
Brassica oleracea var. oleracea is the source of this 926-nucleotide long non-coding RNA. RefSeq lists it as uncharacterized. Lineage: Eukaryota; Viridiplantae; Streptophyta; Magnoliopsida; Brassicales; Brassicaceae. The record is from RefSeq and is a predicted model, not a curated record. The transcript is spliced from 2 exons.